UGUGUGUUGGGCUGAGAGCAGGUCCUCUGUGUUUGCCAGCUGAGCUCAGGUGACACACUGGAGGGCUAUUACAGCCUAUUGCCCUCUCUGGGGACCAUGAUGCCCUGCUGGUUCUGUGUGUGAGCGUGUGAGAGACAGCAGACAGCGAGCAGAUGGCUGUCUGUGUCCUGCAGUGUCUGCGUCUCUCUUCUGCAGAGAUGGCUAAACUCAAACUGAAACAUUGGCUCAGCGUCAAAAUCUGUGCUGUCAUAGUAACUCUGUUCCUUAUUCAUACACAAGUUAUAAGACAAAGCAAGUUGAUGCGAACAGAAAAGCGAGAGCUCCUGGUGUCCACAGGUAACCAAUCAGAGUCUUUCUCAUGGAAGACAAGAACCAAUCAGAGCUCUUAAUGUACAAAUGAAGGCGGUAAAGUGUUUAUGAAUCAUUGCACACUGUAUAUGAAGGGUUUAAAAUGCUUUUACUUCCUCAGGCAUUUAGUCCUAAUGAUUAGGUCCAUGUAAAAUGACGAAUGUGGUGGUGAAGCCUGGUAAUGAGGUUCAUGUGAAUGUGAUUUAGGAGUAUUUUACAGGGCUGUAAAGAAUGGUUUGCAGAUCGAUAUAUACCUUAUGCGAGGUAUAAAUCAGUGUAAUCUUAAUUUACUCAGAGAUCCCAGCAGAACACAUUGACCCCGCCUCCAUAGAUCUUACUGGACUCGUCAACACACUCAUCAAUGCUUCACAACCAGGUUCACAGCAUCUUUUCUCCUUACUCAGUGUGACGUCACACAGUUCACUCUCUCUCCACAAGCUCACGCUGCUGGUCUACAACAGUAACUACCCUUAUCCACACAGCCGAAUCACACUGUAACUACAGCACCAAUAUGGCACAAAUAUGAUGUCAUUCUGUGUGUGUUUGCAUGUGUGUAUCUGUGCGUCAUGUACACAUGUAUGGGCGUGUGUAGUCUCAGACUUUCAGGACAUUGAGAGCAGUUUAUUUCCAUUGAGAUACUGUUACUGUCUGACCAACAAGACCAAUGACCUCACAGAUUUCACAGCUAUUUUGUUGGAUGUAAUGGGAAAUUACACCAGUUAUUUGCAAGAACUAUUUAAGUCCAGCUCUAUCCUCUCAGUCAGUCAGAAGAACAGCUCUGACUGCAUCUAUAUCUGUGUCAUGGCUGGAAAGUCAGACAGUGAUCUGUCUCAGCUGUGGGACAUGGGCUCAGUCACACCUCUGUUUAAUUAGACCAUCACAGAGGAAAUACCCAGAGGUAAUAUAACAUUUCCAUUGCUGCCCUUUGUAAUGUGGCAUGACCUACCAAACACUAGUGACCUGGUACCAUGGCCUUAAGCCAUUACCAACUCCUACAGCACUCCCAGUGCAGAUUCCCACAGGAGCAGAGUACCAACCUCUACAAUGACAUCAUCACCUCUUAUUAGAUCAACAGCAGCUCCUGAAACUACUGUCCCUGUGACGACCACCGCCACUGUUUCUGUGACAACCACACUCAUUAGUGAUCUCACAACUGCUGUGAACACCCAGGCAAAAGCUGUAACGGUAACCACACACACCAUCGCUCCCAUGGUGAAGGUGACAAUUUCACUGCCAACGACAAGCAUCCAGCAGCUCACUAAAGUGUCUCAUUCAGAAAAACCAGGAUGUCCAUGGCGACUAGAGCUAUUUCAUCAAGGAGGUGAGAAAGAGGACCUGAAAGAGACUCUUGAAGAGGAGCUGAUCUGGGGCAGGGUGACCAUUAGCUCAGUGAAGCUGCAGCCAUGUGUGUUUGAGCUGUGCAAGUUUUACUCUCAGUGUGUGUGCAGAGGAUUCAGUCACAGAGCAGCAGCUUUACAGGGAUACUGUGUGGACAGCCAUCGCUGGUAUGACAGACACACAGCAGAGGUCUGCAGUCGUAUGAGGAGAGUCACUUUUUCCAAAAAUCUGAAGCAGAAAUGUCUGGCAAGAAUGUGUGUGAAGAUGCAAGACGAAAGCUGAGCUUCAUUUGCAGGUGACAGACAUCUGAACCAUCUGAACUGAAGAAUUUGUUUAUGUAUGUGUGAGAGAAACUGGGUUCUGUUAAACACUGAACAGCAUUGUCAUCAUCUGUAAAUCAAAAAUCUGUAUAGUCUGUGCAUCUAGUGCCCAAAUUGCACUUUGUCUCUCCUGAAUAUUAAUAAAACCGAAUAUAUAUUUACCCAUGUUUUUUGUAGUUUUACACCAACAAACAUGCUAAAAUCAAACCUGGAAGCACCUGAAAAAAAAAAAAAAAACUUUUUAUAAAAGCCAUUCUGUAUUGAGAAAUAUCCCUAAAAUUUGUUCAGUGUAAAUAAAAAUGGAUUAAUACACC
Molecule: long non-coding RNA, 2320 nt
Organism: Cyprinus carpio carpio
Lineage: Eukaryota; Metazoa; Chordata; Actinopteri; Cypriniformes; Cyprinidae
Source: Ensembl